This 459-nucleotide ribosomal RNA is filed under the name uncultured Pseudomonas sp. Its description in RNAcentral is "bacterial SSU rRNA". It matches the Rfam family "Bacterial small subunit ribosomal RNA", at positions 925 to 1382 of the family's 1533-position model. Lineage: Bacteria; Pseudomonadati; Pseudomonadota; Gammaproteobacteria; Pseudomonadales; Pseudomonadaceae. The record is from RNAcentral.
ACAAGCGGUGGAGCAUGUGGUUUAAUUUCGAAGCAACGCGAAGAACCUUACCAGGCCUUGACAUGCAGAGAACUUUCCAGAGAUGGAUUGGUGCCUUCGGGAACUCUGACACAGGUGCUGCAUGGCUGUCGUCAGCUCGUAUCGUGAGAUGUUGGGUUUAAGUCCGUAACGAGCGCAACCCUUGUCCUUAGUUACCAGCACGUUAUGGUGGGCACUCUAAGGAGACUGCCGGUGACAAACCGGAGGAAGGUGGGGAUGACGUCAAGUCAUCAUGGCCCUUACGGCCUGGGCUACACACGUGCUACAAUGGUCGGUACAAAGGGUUGCCAAGCCGCGAGGUGGAGCUAAUCCCAUAAAACCGAUCGUAGUCCGGAUCGCAGUCUGCAACUCGACUGCGUGAAGUCGGAAUCGCUAGUAAUCGUGAAUCAGAAUGUCACGGUGAAUACGUUCCCGGGCCUU